AGCACGUUAUGGUGGGCACUCUAAGGAGACUGCCGGUGGACAAACCGGAGGAAGGUGGGGAUGACGUCAAGUCAUCAUGGCCCUUACGGCCUGGGCUACACACGUGCUACAAUGGUCGGUACAAAGGGUUGCCAAGCCGCGAGGUGGAGACUAACUACCCAUAAAACCGAUCGUAGUCCGGAUCGCAGUCUGCAACUCGACUGCGUGAAGUCGGAAUCGCUAGUAAUCGUGAAUCAGAAAUGUCACGGUGAAUACGUUCCCGGGCCUU
Molecule: ribosomal RNA, 268 nt
Filed under: uncultured Pseudomonas sp.
Lineage: Bacteria; Pseudomonadati; Pseudomonadota; Gammaproteobacteria; Pseudomonadales; Pseudomonadaceae
Description: partial 16S ribosomal RNA
Rfam family: Bacterial small subunit ribosomal RNA
Source: RNAcentral